UGGGGAAUAUUGCACAAUGGGCGCAAGCCUGAUGCAGCCAUGCAGCGUGUAUGAAGAAGGCCUUCGGGUUGUAAAGUACUUUCAGCGGGGAGGAAGGGAGUAAAGUUAAUACCUUUGCUCAUUGACGUUACCCGCAGAAGAAGCACCGGCUAACUCCGUGCCAGCAGCCGCGGUAAUACGGAGGGUGCAAGCGUUAAUCGGAAUUACUGGGCGUAAAGCGCACGCAGGCGGUCUGUCAAGUCGGAUGUGAAAUCCCCGGGCUCAACCUGGGAACUGCAUUCGAAACUGGCAGGCUAGAGUCUUGUAGAGGGGGGUAGAAUUCCAGGUGUAGCGGUGAAAUGCGUAGAGAUCUGGAGGAAUACCGGUGGCGAAGGCGGCCCCCUGGACAAAGACUGACGCUCAGGUGCGAAAGCGUGGGGAGCAAACAGG
RNAcentral lists this ribosomal RNA (429 nucleotides) under Chloroflexota bacterium. Its description in RNAcentral is "Chloroflexi bacterium partial 16S ribosomal RNA". It matches the Rfam family "Bacterial small subunit ribosomal RNA", at positions 355 to 776 of the family's 1533-position model. The record is from RNAcentral. Lineage: Bacteria; Bacillati; Chloroflexota.